Molecule: non-coding RNA, 351 nt
Filed under: unclassified sequences
Description: GEBRO RNA
Rfam family: GEBRO RNA
Source: Rfam by way of RNAcentral
AGAUGGCUUGAUGGCGAUUGAGUAGAUAAGUUAUCAAUUAAAUAAUUCAAUCAAGAUGACUCACUUUAAGCGUGAAAGACCGCUGACAAAAGAGUCCGCACCGCUCUACGAAUUGCUAAAGGGCGAGGGCGAAAGUAGGUAAAGUGACACCACAGGACCUUCAAAACGGGCUAUGCUAAGUAGCCCAUAGCUAAGUCCUAUAUUAAGUAUAGGAUACGCUAAAAACGUGGCGAGAUGGGCUGAUACACACGAUGAGGACACGAACAGAGACCGAAAGGAAAGCAAGUAGGGCGUGCAGACGCUUGUAGAAAGUUCGUAUUAAGAUUGAAAUAUCUUAAUAGUUAGCAAUUC